Molecule: ribosomal RNA, 247 nt
Filed under: uncultured bacterium
Lineage: Bacteria
Description: partial small subunit ribosomal RNA
Rfam family: Bacterial small subunit ribosomal RNA
Source: RNAcentral
AGGACGAACGCUGGCGGCGUGCUUAACACAUGCAAGUCGAGCGGAAAGGCCCUUCGGGGUACUCGAGCGGCGAACGGGUGAGUAACACGUGAGCAACCUGCCCCUAGCUUCGGGAUAGCUCCGGGAAACCGGAAUUAAUACCGAAUAUGACCAUGGACGACAUCAGCCAUGGUGGAAAGUUUUUCGGCUAGGGAUGGACUCGCGGCCUAUCAGCUAGUUGGUGAGGUAACGGCCCACCAAGGCGACG